RNAcentral lists this ribosomal RNA (230 nucleotides) under uncultured bacterium. RNAcentral's name for it is "partial 16S ribosomal RNA". It matches the Rfam family "Bacterial small subunit ribosomal RNA", at positions 524 to 752 of the family's 1533-position model. The record is from RNAcentral.
UACGUAGGGUGCAAGCGUUUGUCCGGAAUUAUUGGGCGUAAAGAGCGUGUAGGCGGCUUGGAAGGUCAGCUGUGAAAACUCGAGGCUCAACCUCGAGACGUCGGUUGAAACCACCUGGCUAGAGUCCGGAAGAGGAGAGUGGAAUUCCCGGUGUAGCGGUGAAAUGCGCAGAUAUCGGGAAGAACACCCGUGGCGAAGGCGAGUCCCUGGACAACACCUGACACUGAGGC